Molecule: transfer RNA, 62 nt
Filed under: Cricetulus griseus (Chinese hamster)
Lineage: Eukaryota; Metazoa; Chordata; Mammalia; Rodentia; Cricetidae
Rfam family: tRNA
About the family: Transfer RNA (tRNA) molecules are approximately 80 nucleotides in length.
Source: Rfam by way of RNAcentral
GGGGAUGUAGCUCAGUGGGAGAGUUCUUGCUUUGUAAGCAUGAGGCUCUAGGCUCAUUCCCU